AGCACUCUAUUAUAAUUUGGCAAUCGAUUUAUAUUUAAAUAUGCCAGACAAAUCAGAUGCGCUCACGUGGACAGACACACAACCGAUAAGUGUAUUAAGUGCUUUAUUAAAUGCAUGCGAUAAUCUUAAUUGAAAUUGCACAGUCGUUUUUGGACACAGACACUUGGCAGUCAGCUCGGACAGUUGAGCUGCUGCCUCUGUAGUUGUUAAGCAGCCAAUUAGUUGGACAACAGAACGGAACCGGAAGUGGGAAAGUGGGGAAGCGGCAUAUAAAGCAGUCGUAACGGAAUACAGGCCGCUACGGGACAAACUCUUGAGCGGGGCACAAACAUCCGGAACUGGGAUCUGGAGUGGUGUGCCGGGCAUAUAGACACUCUUGGCAGGGAAAUGGAUUGCGAUUGCCAGGGACGGGCAAAUCACUUGGCUAAAUAGACAGCCAAAAGGACGGCCAACGCUUUUGGUCAGUAACAGUUACAUCAAUUGGCAAACAGAUGCACUGGCACACCAACCGACCAACCGACCAACCAACCAACCAACCAACCGACCAAACAACCAACCAGCCAACAGACAGACAACAAUUGUCCGGAGACAUGUUGCUCUUGUUGGAAUAAACAGCCGGCAGCCAGACAGAUAUGAGCUGGGAGUAUCAAGGGCGGGCCAGAAGGGGCAAUCAAGAUUAUUAUUGUUUGGGGGCAGCACCAGUAGCACCAACAGCACCAGCAGCACCAAGUACUUGGAGCACCAGCUUCGCACACUUUGACUUCAACUCAUUCACAUUUAUGUCACUCCAUCUGAACCCCAACCACUUCAUGCCCCCGAAGAACAAACAGGACAUGCGGGGAGAUUUCUGGGCGUGGACCAUUGCUUUAAGGACCAUUCAAAUGCAUUGUUGGUGCUUGUGCUCGCCAAAGUGGUAGUC
Drosophila melanogaster (fruit fly) is the source of this 919-nucleotide non-coding RNA. The record is from Ensembl. NCBI's taxonomy places the organism in Eukaryota, Metazoa, Arthropoda, Insecta, Diptera, Drosophilidae.